UUAUAUACCUGGCAAGGGAGAUACCAUGAUCAUGAAGGUGGUUUUCCCAGGGCAAGGCUUAUCCAUUGUGCUCCAGAUGUGCUGACCCCUGCAAUUUCCCUGAAUGUAGGAAACUCAACUGCAUAAUUUGUGGCAGUAGGUUACUGUGUUCGCACUGUCCCCUG
Small nuclear RNA from Echinops telfairi (small Madagascar hedgehog), 164 nucleotides. RefSeq annotates it as U1 spliceosomal RNA. The transcript has a single exon. The record is from RefSeq and is a predicted model, not a curated record. Lineage: Eukaryota; Metazoa; Chordata; Mammalia; Afrosoricida; Tenrecidae.